RNAcentral lists this unclassified non-coding RNA (343 nucleotides) under soil metagenome. RNAcentral describes it as "partial contains 5.8S ribosomal RNA, internal transcribed spacer 2, and large subunit ribosomal RNA". The stretch from base 1 to 120 matches the Rfam family "5.8S ribosomal RNA", at positions 35 to 154 of the family's 154-position model. The record is from RNAcentral.
GAUGAAGAACGCAGCGAAAUGCGAUAAGUAAUGUGAAUUGCAGAAUUCAGUGAAUCAUCGAAUCUUUGAACGCACAUUGCGCCCGCUAGUAUUCUGGCGGGCAUGCCUGUCCGAGCAUCAUUUCAACCCUCAAGCCCCCGGGCUUGGUGUUGGGGAUCGGCGAGCCUCCGCGCCCGCCGUCCCCUAAAUCUAGUGGCGGUCUCGCUGUAGCUUCCUCUGCGUAGUAGCACACCUCGCACUGGGAAACAGCGCGGCCACGCCGUUAAACCCCCAACUUCUGAACGUUUGACCUCGGAUCAGGUAGGAAUACCCGCUGAACUUAAGCAUAUCAAUAAGCGGAGGA